Long non-coding RNA from Tetranychus urticae (two-spotted spider mite), 625 nucleotides. RefSeq lists it as uncharacterized. The record is from RefSeq and is a predicted model, not a curated record. Lineage: Eukaryota; Metazoa; Arthropoda; Arachnida; Trombidiformes; Tetranychidae.
UGUUUUUGUAUGAAUGGCUUUAAUUUUGUUUGUCUAUCAUAAUAUAAUAAUAAAUAAUAUAUCUUUUUUUGUAUUAAUUUUAUCAUUUGUUUGUGCCAAUAUUUAGUCUUUUAUUAACUGUUAACUUUCUCACUUUCACGACUUGGUGUGGCUUAUCUGAAUCUCACACGCGACUGUUUACCCUCUUCAUCUUUCAUCUUGUUGCGUUGCUGCUUCAAAAUUCAGGUCCAUCUUCACCUUUAAUCUGGCUGUUUAUUUUUAUUUGUAAACCUGAUUCCCAAAGACAUCAAGAAAGAAAAGGAAAUCUUUUAGUGAAAAGAAUGGAUUCCAUUAUCAGUUGUCGUUCUGUAUCUUCCUGAGGUCACAAAACCGUCAUCAUUAUCAUCAUCAUCUUCGUCUAUCAUUUCAUUGUCUAACUUUUUACGUGAUCAAGAUUGAGAUUAGCGUUUUGGUGUGUUUAUCACAACAUUCAAGGGAAAACUAUUUUAAGCCUCUUCUUUCUCAUAGGAAUGAUAGAUGAUGGUUUAAAGAGUGUUGACCGAGAAUUCAGUACGAAGUGCUAAUUAAUAAUGAAAGUUAUUAAACAUUAAGCGCGAAAGUAAAUAAAUUUGUCGUUUCCAGAAAA